AAGUGAAAUAGAGGACAGUGGCGGACGGGUGAGUAACGCGUGAGGAACCUGCCUAUCAGAGGGGAACAACAGUUGGAAACGACUGCUAAUACCGCAUAUGCCACGAGAAUCACAUGGUUCAAGUGGGAAAGGAGCAAUCCGCUGAUAGAUGGACUUAUAUCUGAUUAGCUAGUUGGUGGGGUAAUGGCCUACCAAGGCGACGAUCAGUAGCCGGACUGAGAGGUUAAACGGCCACAUUGGGACUGAGAUACGGCCCAGACUCC
This 263-nucleotide ribosomal RNA is filed under the name uncultured Oscillospiraceae bacterium. RNAcentral describes it as "partial 16S ribosomal RNA". It matches the Rfam family "Bacterial small subunit ribosomal RNA", at positions 78 to 339 of the family's 1533-position model. The record is from RNAcentral. Lineage: Bacteria; Bacillati; Bacillota; Clostridia; Eubacteriales; Oscillospiraceae.